AGUGAACGCUGGCGGUAGGCCUAACACAUGCAAGUCGAACGGCAGCACAGUAAGAGCUUGCUCUUACGGGUGGCGAGUGGCGGACGGGUGAGGAAUACAUUGGAAUCUACUUUUUAGUGGGGGAUAACGUAGGGAAACUUACGCUAAUACCGCAUACGACCUACGGGUGAAAGCAGGGGAUCUUCGGACCUUGCGCGAUUGAAUGAGCCGAUGUCGGAUUAGCUAGUUGGCGGGGUAAAGGCCCACCAAGGCGACGAUCCGUAGCUGGUCUGAGAGGAUGAUCAGCCACACUGGGACUGAGACACGGUCCAGACUCCUACGGGAGGCAGCAGUGGGGAAUAUUGGACAAUGGGCGCAAGCCUGAUCCAGCCAUACCGCGUGGGUGAAGAAGGCCUUCGGGUUGUAAAGCCCUUUUGUUGGGAAAGAAAAGCAGCAGGUUAAUACCCCGCUGUUCUGACGGUACCCAAAGAAUAAGCACCGGCUAACUACGUG
RNAcentral lists this ribosomal RNA (492 nucleotides) under uncultured bacterium. RNAcentral describes it as "partial 16S ribosomal RNA". It matches the Rfam family "Bacterial small subunit ribosomal RNA", at positions 29 to 507 of the family's 1533-position model. The record is from RNAcentral.